UGCAGUCGAGGGGUAACGGGGUGCUUGCACCGCCGACGACCGGCGCACGGGUGCGUAACGCGUAUGCAAUCUACCUUAUACUGGAGUAUAGCCCAGAGAAAUUUGGAUUAAUCCUUCAUAGUCUAUAUAUGUGGCAUCACAUUUAUAGUAAAGGUUACGGUAUAAGAUGAGCAUGCGUCCUAUUAGUUUGUUGGUGAGGUAACGGCUCACCGAGACUACGAUAGGUAGGGGCCCUGAGAGGGGGAUCCCCCACACUGGUACUGAGACACGGACCAGACUCCUACGGGAGGCAGCAGUGAGGAAUAUUGGACAAUGGGCGAGAGCCUGAUCCAGCCAUGCCGCGUGCAGGAAGACUGCCCUAUGGGUUGUAAACUGCUUUUAUACGGGAAGAAACACCCCCUCGUGAGAGGGCUUGACGGUACCGUAAGAAUAAGGAUCGGCUAACUCCGUGCCAGCAGCCGCGGUAAUACGGAGGAUCCAAGCGUUAUCCGGAAUCAUUGGGUUUAAAGGGUCCGUAGGCGGGCAGCUAAGUCAGUGGUGAAAGUCUGCAGCUCAACUGUAGAAUUGCCAUUGAUACUGGUUGUCUUGAAUUAGUGUGAAGUGGUUAGAAUAUGUAGUGUAGCGGUGAAAUGCAUAGAUAUUACAUAGAAUACCAAUUGCGAAGGCAGAUCACUAACACUAUAUUGACGCUGAUGGACGAAAGCGUGGGGAGCGAACAGGAUUAGAUACCCUGGUAGUCCACGCCGUAAACGAUGGAUACUAGCUGUUCGGACUUCGGUCUGAGUGGCUAAGCGAAAGUGAUAAGUAUCCCACCUGGGGAGUACGUUCGCAAGAAUGAAACUCGAAGGAAUUGACGGGGGCCCGCACAAGCGGUGGAGCAUGUGGUUUAAUUCGAUGAUACGCGAGGAACCCUUACAGGGCUUAAAUGU
Molecule: ribosomal RNA, 929 nt
Filed under: uncultured bacterium
Lineage: Bacteria
Description: bacterial SSU rRNA
Rfam family: Bacterial small subunit ribosomal RNA
Source: RNAcentral